UAUCUCAAAAAUAAAAAAUAAACAUUAAAAAAUUUUUAAAUAAGUAACCUUUCCCCUCUCUUCUGCAAACCUCCUCUCCUCCCUUCUUAGCCUUUUUUCAGGAACUCUGUACACCCUGAAAACAUGACAAACAAGGCUAACAGCUCACACACGAUACCUGUUGAAGCCAGCCAGAUCUCUAUUUCCUUAGAACCCCCCGGCUAGUCCCGUCCUCUGGGGGGCAGGGGUGGCAAUCCUGAAGGCCUUAGGCUGCGGCAGCCUCCUCUGUCCAGUAAAACAAUAAAACCCUGGUUGUUUUCCAUCCCAGACUCUAUCUUCGCAUUACCAGUUCCAGCUCUGGAGCACAGAGGUCGACGUUCGACAAGUUCACCCAGUAGGAGUGAAAAGAAAGUCAUCAAAGAGAUUAGAUUACUUGAUGAAGCAUCCUAUCUCAGCCAUAUUUUAAUCCUUCUGAUUUUCCAACUAAUUAAGGUUUAACAGGCUGGUGGAACCAAUUCAAACCCACUUCCAUUCCCGGGACCCACCUCCAAAGUAACUCCAGUCAACUAUUUGGCCAACAGGACUUCAAGCAUUUUCCGUGCACAUGGCAACGACCAUUCAGCGAACACCUGUGAUAUGUCAAGUCCAAGUGUACAAACUCUUCACCUGUAUCAAUCCAGCUGCUGCUUUACACGUUCUCUAGGAGAUCACUGAUACCAAGUGCUGCUUGUAGCUGCCUCAUCAUAUGAUCUAGACACAGCACAACGACAAGGAGGGGGUCAGUGGCUGGACGUCACUCCUAAGUAAGGACAGAAGGAAAAGCCUGGCACUAAGCAGCAAAGACAGCACCAAAAUUGUUCAAGGGCCUGGAGGCAUCCAGUGGGAGAGAGAAAGGGCAUUUCCUGGUGACCAGGUGCUCACGGUCUACUUUACCGCAAUAAGCAAGACACCCUACCAAACCAUCAGCCUGGAGUGAGUCCAACAGCACCAAGCGUGGAUUAAUGGAGCAAAAGGAACACAGUUCCAUGUGGAACUCCAGAUUAUAAAGAUGACAAGUCACAGCUUAAGUGACAGGCUAAGUCCCGGGCCCAGCUCAAAGAACUAGUAUCUGAUGAUGUGUCGGGCAACAUCUAUCUGUUACCUAUGUGUAAACAUCACAUACCCCUUUCUAGAUCAUCUCAUUACCUCAAAGAUCUCACUCUUGCAUAAG
Long non-coding RNA from Felis catus (domestic cat), 1189 nucleotides. RefSeq lists it as uncharacterized. The transcript has 3 exons. The record is from RefSeq and is a predicted model, not a curated record. NCBI's taxonomy places the organism in Eukaryota, Metazoa, Chordata, Mammalia, Carnivora, Felidae.